UUGUUCUCAGGUUUUAUGGAAAGCUUACAUAGAUUUUGAGAUAAACUUGGAAGAGUACGACAAAACACGAGAUCUGUAUGAGAGGCUACUAAAACGAACGCAACACGUCAAGGUUUGGAUUAGUUUUGCACAGUUCGAGGCCUCUACAGCAACCGAUGAAAGCAUCAUACAAGCAAGAACUGUUUACGAACGCGCCGAGUAAAGAAGA
Non-coding RNA from Pocillopora verrucosa, 208 nucleotides. Lineage: Eukaryota; Metazoa; Cnidaria; Anthozoa; Scleractinia; Pocilloporidae. The record is from RefSeq and is a predicted model, not a curated record.